CCAUAUUUAUUGCGUGGGCACGAAUCGCCACUUAAUUUAUAUAUUUUGUCGUGGCGUGAAUCGCCACUUUUUAUCUUAUAUAUUUUUAUUAUUGUGCCGGCGCAAAUCGCCACCUUUUAUUUUACAGGUGCUAAUCGCCGCAUUAUAUUAUUUAUUUCUUUGUUUGUGUGUGUUUAAUAUUAUUAUAUAGCUGUAUAGGUAGCGGCUGGCCAGCAGUACUCCACAAAUUAAAUGCACUGCCAAUGUCAAGUCGAUCUUACAAAUUAAUCAUAAAGAAUGUUGAAGACGUGCGGUGGUUCCCGGUCAAGGAUUCGGUUCGGUUGAUCGUACUGGCCAAGAACUCGACCCUUUGACAUUAUCCAAUUAUUCGACGGGUUUUUCACAGUCAUAUUUGUGACGAAUAGAAUCUACGAAACGACCAGAAUCCCCAAACAAUAAGGUUAACAUGACAACGAGUUAACCGUGGUCCGUGAGGAUGGCUGGAUGAUCCGAAGGAAAGUACAACGGGAAAACAUUAUAAGAAUUGCUUAUAGAAUUGAAUUUGAGACAUCACAAAAAGCAUUAUAAAAGUGAAAACUUUGUGAUGAAGCUUGAGAUAAUACCUGUAUAAUAUUCAUAUUUAUUCCAUUAUAAUAAUUGUGCAAUGUUAUACAUAGCAGUUUAGAAAUUAUCAUUUUAAUUUUUUCGUUAAUGUAUAACGAAUAUUAAUAGAGUUGAUUAUUUGAAAUUAAUAAAUUAAUA
This is a long non-coding RNA of Rhopalosiphum padi (bird cherry-oat aphid), 741 nucleotides long. RefSeq lists it as uncharacterized. The transcript has 3 exons. The record is from RefSeq and is a predicted model, not a curated record. NCBI's taxonomy places the organism in Eukaryota, Metazoa, Arthropoda, Insecta, Hemiptera, Aphididae.